This is a long non-coding RNA of Alexandromys fortis (reed vole), 2878 nucleotides long. RefSeq lists it as uncharacterized. The transcript is spliced from 4 exons. Lineage: Eukaryota; Metazoa; Chordata; Mammalia; Rodentia; Cricetidae. The record is from RefSeq and is a predicted model, not a curated record.
GCGACACCUCUUUGUGGGUCCUCAAGUACUUUUCAUUUGCGAUGCGAGUCUGGAUCUGAGGAGCAACAACCAAGAGUCAGAGAUCUGGGGAGAGAGAUCCAGGUUUCAAGCCUAGAAAGAGGCAGAGAGUUUCAUAGUGCCUGGGCUGUUCUGGACCGUGAUGAAGCUGGCCUUGAACUUCUCUGCCUCUACGGCAGUGCUGACCCCUACUUGGUUCUUCUUGCGCUUUCAUACCCGGCGGAUUGGGCUCAGGGAUGCUCCAUAGUCCUCGGGCGUUUAUCUCCAGAAACAGACCCUGCUCUGCUCUUCCCGGGGUUCUCUUUCGAGGGACCUUUGUCCUAAGGAGCCUCACUUUGAUCAAAACAGAGGCUAGAAGAGGGCAUCAGAUGGCCUGGAACUGGGGCUACAGACGGUCGUCAGUCAUGAUACAGGUGAUGGGAACCGAACCUGGGGCUACAGACGGUCGUCAGUCAUGAUACAGGUGAUGGGAACCGAACCUGGGGCUACAGACGGUCGUCAGUCAUGAUACAGGUGAUGGGAAUUGAGUCUGGGGCCUCAGAAAGAGCAGCCAGUGACCAUCUCUCCAGCACCUUAAAGGCAGAAAUCUUCUCAUACAUGGCAGCUUAGCUUUGACUGAGGAGGAGGAGGAGAGAGCUAGCUUGCGGAUGGUGGGCAGAGAAAAUCCUCCGCUCCUGGGGCUCCCCCUUAGUCUUUACCUCACAGAGCUCCCAUCCCCCCGAGACUGAAAGAACUUCAGAGAUGGUGCCCACAGCCGCUCAGCUUGGGGAGUCUGAUUGACAGCCCCAAUCUGGACUGGACACUGAGCAAAGGGUCUCAAUCCUUUUGAUUGCCGUCUGCAGCCGUCUCCCGGUUACUGCUCGGGAGGAGGAGCCAGAAGGGUUCAUUGAAAUUCAUUUUUGUGGAUGUUUAAUAUUUCAAUUAAGAUGAUUAGGCCCAAGCCUGAAUGAGCAGCAGGGAGGCAGACCAGCCGAGAAGACACACAGUAAUGAGAUCAGUGGGCCCAUCCACAGGGUCCCCCAUGUUCGCAGGGCGUGAUCUGUUUAACAUCUCCACAAAUGCCAAGAUCGGAUUAGAAAGGCAAGAAAGGAGAAGUGGGGGUGGGGCCGGUGAAUGGAAAGUUACUGUGGAGAAAGAGCUUCCCACUUCCUGGUCUGCUGGCACUGCCAUGGCAUCUCCUGGCCACUCAUCAUAGAGUCCCAUGACCCCCACCCUCUUGUUUCAUUUUAGGGCACCCUGUCGGGAGGACCUGCACAUCUAUCUGUAUGGUGAAAUGUAAUCAAGUCUCCACACAGACAUUCACUCAACAUACACACCUGCCAGAAUGUAGUAGCUUCAGGCCACAGAAACCCAGGUUAAAGGAGGUGGACAUGGUCACCAAGGAAUGGGGGAGCAGGAGGAAGGUCACCAGGGACUCUCAUGCAGUGCUUCAGGGGCACAGAGGGAAAGAUGGCCAGCCAGGUUCACAUCACCACAUUCCCACAUGGAAUUAUGGGUGUGGAACCCAGCCUACCCAGGCUGGAGUCUCAGCUGGACGCAUUUCCAACUGUGUGACUUCGGGCAAGUUAUUCAACCACUCUGUGCCUUGGUUUCUUCAUCCAUAUCAUUUAGGGCGGUGUGUUUAACAAGUUAGGAACCUCAAACAUUUGGAACAAUGCCUAAGACACGGUUCUGCUAUUUCAGAUUCAGAAGAAGAAUCUGCUUGUUGUGAUAACUCAGGAACGGAAGCCUCCAGGGUACAUCUGGGAGUCUCAGAGACACCCACAGCACCCUAGAGACAUCAGCUCCACCCAGGGUAGAGGAACGGAAUAAGAAGAGCCGGAAGUGGGAGGGCUACAGAAGCUGCCAGUGAAGUGGGGACGGUGAGCCUGGACCGCUACCACUGAGAGCUGAUGGCCCCAGACCCUCCCUGCUCUGAGCAGGCACCGUGCUUGAACAGAGAGGGCCAACCUUCCUCUGGAUCAUGGAACACAUGAUCAGGUUUUGAAGUAUAAUUGGUUUCUUUUGGGGGCGGAGGGGAAUAAUGGUCCCUAAAUAUGUUUUUUGGCUCCUCUCAUCUGCCGCCAAGUGAAGGAAGGAGUAACUGGGUAUUGGCCCUCAAGGGAGCCUGGCAGCUGUGUGUGUUCCCAUAGAAGGAAUCGGGACUCUCCACGUCACAGGUUCUUUGCAUGUAAGCACCUACUAUGUAUGAGCAAGACACCACACUAGACUCUGAGCAGUGGGAUGCCGAAUUAAAGGGAAUCUUGGACUUCAAGAGACUUCUUCCCAGUGAGGGCUGCCAGCAGCUGGGCUCCCUGCCCAUACACUUAUACACACAAACCCCCCAGAGAGAAGCAAGGGGGCGUCUCCAAGUGCCAGACUGCUAUAGUUCCCCUUGCUUUCUUUUCGGGAAAAUUAUGCAGCCCUCUUUCUGCACUCGCUUCCACUAGCUCUCUCUCCCCACACCCCUUUGCAUUUUCCUCUCUGCCUCACUUUUGCUCUUUUCCCCCAACCCUGUGACCGCUUCUUCAUCUACACCUCCCUUUCUGCCCCUCAACCUGCUGCCUGUUCUCUCCCGUUUCUCUUCCUUGAUUCCUCAUUUUCAGGCUCCCCAAACACCAGACUCCCCUCUACUCCCCACCCCCAGAUUCCAUCCCCUGGGUCUUCUCUUCCCCUUCCAGCACCGGGGACAGCUCCAGCCCCCGGAACAAUGGACCCCACCUUAGGGCUCCUCUAUAAAUUCUCCAUUGUAGUGUAUUGCCCAAUUCCUGAUUGGGGAGUAAAAUGGGGGAAGGGUUGUUAACAAGACCAGCUGCUCUUCUAGGGUGGAAAGGGAGUCAGGGAGGAUAGAGAUAGAAAGAGGGAGUGGCUUUUGCCUGGG